UACGGAGGGGGCAAGCGUUGCUCGGAAUCACUGGGCGUAAAGGGCGCGUAGGCGGGGAGGUAAGUCGGGUGUGAAAUCCCUCGGCCCAACCGAGGAACUGCGCCCGAGACUGCUUCUCUUGAGUCCCGGAGAGGAAGGUGGAAUUCCCGGUGUAGCGGUGAAAUGUGUAGAGAUCGGGAGGAACACCGGUGGCGAAGGCGGCCUUCUGGACGGUGACUGACGCUGAGGCGCGAAAGCGUGGGGAGCAAACGGG
RNAcentral lists this ribosomal RNA (253 nucleotides) under uncultured bacterium. RNAcentral's name for it is "partial 16S ribosomal RNA". It matches the Rfam family "Bacterial small subunit ribosomal RNA", at positions 524 to 776 of the family's 1533-position model. The record is from RNAcentral.